Molecule: ribosomal RNA, 506 nt
Filed under: uncultured bacterium
Lineage: Bacteria
Description: partial 16S ribosomal RNA
Rfam family: Bacterial small subunit ribosomal RNA
Source: RNAcentral
AGUGAACGCUGGCGGUAGGCCUAACACAUGCAAGUCGAACGGCAGCACAGGAGAGCUUGCUCUCUGGGUGGCGAGUGGCGGACGGGUGAGGAAUACAUCGGAAUCUACUCUGUCGUGGGGGAUAACGUAGGGAAACUUACGCUAAUACCGCAUACGACCUACGGGUGAAAGCAGGGGACCUUCGGGCCUUGCGCGAUUGAAAGAGCCGAUGUCGGAUUAGCUAGUUGGCGGGGUAACGGCCCACCAAGGCGACGAUCCGUAGCUGGUCUGAGAGGCAAAUCAGCCACACUGGAACUGAGACACGGUCCAGACUCCUACGGGAGGCAGCAGUGGGGGAUAUUGGACAAUGGGCGCAAGCCUGAUCCAGCCAUACCGCGUGGGUGAAGAAGGCCUUCGGGUUGUAAAGCCCUUUUGUUGGGAAAGAAAUCCAGCUGGCUAAUACCCGGUUGGGAUAACGGUACCCAAAGAAUAAGCACCGGCUAACUUCGUGCCAGCCGCCGCCGUAC